RNAcentral lists this ribosomal RNA (482 nucleotides) under Escherichia coli. RNAcentral's name for it is "bacterial SSU rRNA". It matches the Rfam family "Bacterial small subunit ribosomal RNA", at positions 128 to 605 of the family's 1533-position model. The record is from RNAcentral. Lineage: Bacteria; Pseudomonadati; Pseudomonadota; Gammaproteobacteria; Enterobacterales; Enterobacteriaceae.
GCCUGAUGGAGGGGGAUAACUACUGGAAACGGUAGCUAAUACCGCAUAACGUCGCAAGACCAAAGAGGGGGACCUUCGGGCCUCUUGCCAUCGGAUGUGCCCAGAUGGGAUUAGCUAGUAGGUGGGGUAACGGCUCACCUAGGCGACGAUCCCUAGCUGGUCUGAGAGGAUGACCAGCCACACUGGAACUGAGACACGGUCCAGACUCCUACGGGAGGCAGCAGUGGGGAAUAUUGCACAAUGGGCGCAAGCCUGAUGCAGCCAUGCCGCGUGUAUGAAGAAGGCCUUCGGGUUGUAAAGUACUUUCAGCGGGGAGGAAGGGAGUAAAGUUAAUACCUUUGCUCAUUGACGUUACCCGCAGAAGAAGCACCGGCUAACUCCGUGCCAGCAGCCGCGGUAAUACGGAGGGUGCAAGCGUUAAUCGGAAUUACUGGGCGUAAAGCGCACGCAGGCGGUUUGUUAAGUCAGAUGUGAAAUCCCCC